Molecule: non-coding RNA, 2452 nt
Organism: Nothobranchius furzeri (turquoise killifish)
Lineage: Eukaryota; Metazoa; Chordata; Actinopteri; Cyprinodontiformes; Nothobranchiidae
Source: RefSeq, a predicted model, not a curated record
ACUUUCUUCAGUCUAGUAGUGGCGGCAGUUAGCCACUCAGGUGCCUAAUAGAAAAAAAAAUAAUUUAAUGGCUUAUAAUUUUUGCAGAUGCCUGAUAUAGAAAAAAUUGAAUAUAUUGGUUGGCCCUAAGUAGAACUACUUCAACAAACUUAGAAUCAAGUAAAAAUAAAAAGUUGCCACCCAAAAACAUUGCUCCACUAGCACAGGCGCUGUGCCAGGUUUUCAAUUUUGGAUUAGCCCGGAUAAUAAUUUGUUUAAACAAGUCAUGAGUUGGUGGUGGUCAGAGGGGCUGUCAGCGCCAAAUGGCAGCCUCGCCUCUGUCAGACCGCCCCUGCGGGGCUGUGGCUACGUAGCUUACAAUCAAUGGCAGUGUGUGAAUGUGAGAGUGCAUGAAAGUGUCUUUGAGUGUCCUAAAAAGCGCAAUAUAAGUUCAAUACAUUACUAUUAUUAAAAUUGCGUAAACAAGUUAUCAAUAUAAGUUACAAGCAGAUACAGAAACAAUACAUAUAUACAAAGGUCGCGCUAGACCUUUUUGUUGUCAUUUUGACCGACAGAGUUAGAAAAAAUAGCCAUUAUCGUUUUCUCCUGUCAUUUUUAUUAAAAAAAAAAAAAGCUAGCUGCACUGAUCAUGGUGUCCAUGUCUGAGAUAAUGCUCAGAUGUUCGGAUGGGAAUUUUUUCAUGAUGUAUUUUGUUACCUUCGUGAUUUUCUCUGUGUGUAAUGUUUAAAAUGUCUGCUCACCUGUAUGCAUCAAGGUAAUUCCAGUCUGUCAAAAUUACCAACAACCUUGAGAUUUUUCCAUCAAAAUAAUCGGCCAAACAGAAAAUAUCCAAUUAAUGUGAUCCCUGCCUACAUUUAACUUUUUUGCCUUCUUGUGAAGAUAGUGUGGCAGCCCUUCACACAACAGGAGUAUACAAUUUUCUGCAGGCUUACAAACUCACAACAACACAAAGCGGCCAAUGCUUCCUUUGUUCAUACAUCUAGCUAUCUCAUCAUGCAACAUGCUACAGCACCCGAUACGUUAUCUGACAUGGACCAAUUGGCUGUGGGAGGCCAGAGGUAAAGUCCUCCUUGAAAAUGACCAAAUUUAAAGUUCUAUGUCAUAUAGCUCCGACCUUGAAGCCAUCACCCAUUAGAUUAAUUUUCAUUCCCUUAUCCAAUUAUUGAAGAGCUUUUCGUGUAUGCCUGCCUCCUAGGUGGGUCCUGGCCCAAUAAAAGGGUACAGAGAGCAUAGCUCAUCUCCAUAAGUCUCAAAGAUCCCUCAGAACCAGUGGGGCCAGGAUGCUUAAAGGGCUACGCUGAACUCAUAUACUCUGGGGUUACAAUAUGUAACCAACGUUUUAUGUAGUAUAGCUCCGCCCUUUAAGCCAUCGCCUGUUGGAUUAAAGGGAGAGUCAAAUAUAGUCAACCCCACACUGGUCCAGAACCAAACCUAAGCAGACUCUGAGGCUCCAGCCCAACAAACCUCUACGGCUGUCAGCGGGCGAAAACAUGAGAAAACAGCUGCAGGACAUGAUGACAGCAAAUGAGCAGCAAAUUGCUGAUGGGAAUCAACACCAAGGUUGCCUAGCAACAGGUGGGAGGGGGGAAGGUGUCACAAUCAGGAAGGACAAAAUGUGACAUAUUGGCUGUGUCUCAAUUCAGGGUCUGCAUCCUACGUCGGCCGGUUACGUCACAGCGCCGCGACUAGGCCUGUCCCAAUUCGAAGACUCCUUCAAAUGCGGUCGACGAAUCCGGCCUUCUUUUUGCCUGAAUGAAGGAUGGGUCGGGUGUAUCCUUCAAUAGGUAGCAUUUCCCAAGAUGCCUUGCGGGUCGGCCGGCAGAAAAACUUAAAAACAAUGGCGGACAGUGAAGCGGGAGCUGUCGGAGAGGAUUGCGCAUAUAAAUGAACAAAAGAGAAAACCAGGGAAUUUAUUAAGCUUAGGGCGGAGAUGGACCACAUGAUCACCGGAGCAAAGUAUUCGGCGGCUGUGGCAUGGAGACUAUUCUGGAGAAAAUGGGCAUCCAGGGGAAGGUGCCAGCGAUGACCAGCUUCUGGAGCUGUUCAGGGAGGACUUGAGGCUGCAGAGGGAGGCAGAGCAGCAGAGAGCACAGGAGAGAAGGAAGAACUUUGACAGCUUUUUACUUUGCUAGAAAAAAUGGUUAAGGAAGAUUAAACAUGUACAUAUAAAAGAAAUAUCUAAAUAAAAUCAGUUCUGCAUUAAACUCUUGAAUUUUAUUUUUGUUUACAAAUGAGAAUUGUUUACUAGAGGGUAUCUGCUGGGUCUUGAAAAGUCUUAAAAGGUGAUAAAUCGGUUUUGGUCAAAUUAAGACCCUGAGAAAGUAUUAAAAACUAUUAUCACAUCUUUGCUCAGGCUCAGCUUGUCUAAAGUAUUUUCUCUGAAUUAGCUCUCCAACAAUCAAGGAAAUGAUAACCCCCAGAGACCCACGGUUGUAAUAUUACAACAUCAGAU